Molecule: ribosomal RNA, 884 nt
Filed under: uncultured Bacillota bacterium
Lineage: Bacteria; Bacillati; Bacillota
Description: bacterial SSU rRNA
Rfam family: Bacterial small subunit ribosomal RNA
Source: RNAcentral
CAAGUCGAACGAUUAAGACUUCCUUCGGGAAGUGUAUAAAGUGGCGCACGGGUGAGUAACACGUAAGUAAUCUACCUUCGAGUGGGGAAUAACGUUCGGAAACGAACGCUAAUACCGCAUAAUGCAGCGGUACCUAAUGGUGACAGUUGUUAAAGGAGCAAUUCGCUUGAAGAGGAGCUUGCGGCAGAUUAGCUAGUUGGUGGGGUAACGGCCUACCAAGGCUACGAUCUGUAACCGGUCUAAGAGGACGGUCGGUCACACUGACACUGAAUAACGGGUCAGACUCCUACGGGAGGCAGCAGUCGGGAAUUUUGGGCAAUGGGCGAAAGCCUGACCCAGCAACGCCGCGUGAAGGAUGAAGUAUUUCGGUAUGUAAACUUCGAAAGAAUGGGAAGAAUCAAUGACGGUACCAUUUAUAAGGUCCGGCUAACUACGUGCCAGCAGCCGCGGUAAUACGUAGGGACCAAGCGUUGUUCGGAUUUACUGGGCGUAAAGGGCGCGUAGGCGGCAAUUCAAGUCAUCUGUGAAAUCUCCGGGCUUAACCCGGAACGGUCAGAUGAUACUGCUUUGCUAGAGUGCGGAAGGGGCAAUCGGAAUUCUUGGUGUAGCGGUGAAUUGCGUAGAUAUCAAGAGGAACACCUGAGGUGAAGACGGGUUGCUGGGCCGACACUGACGCUGAUAGCGCGAAAGCCAGGGGAGCAAACGGGAUUAGAUACCCCGGUAGUCCUGGCCCUAAACGAUGAAUACUUGGUGUCUGGAGUUAUUAGUGCUCCGGGUGCCGUCGCUAACGUUUUUAGUAUUCCGCCUGGGGAGUACGCUCGCAAGAGUGAAACUCAAAGGAAUUGACGGGGACCCGCACAAGCGGUGGAGCAUGUGGUUUAUUC